RNAcentral lists this ribosomal RNA (254 nucleotides) under uncultured bacterium. RNAcentral's name for it is "partial 16S ribosomal RNA". It matches the Rfam family "Bacterial small subunit ribosomal RNA", at positions 524 to 776 of the family's 1533-position model. The record is from RNAcentral.
UACGGGGGGAGCAAGCGUUGUUCGGAUUUACUGGGCGUAAAGGGCGCGUAGGCGGCCAGUGCAAGUCAGUUGUGAAAUCUCCGAGCUUAACUCGGAAAGGUCAACUGAUACUGCUCGGCUAGAGUGCGGAAGGGGCAACUGGAAUUCUUGGUGUAGCGGUGAAAUGCGUAGAUAUCAAGAGGAACACCUGCGGCGAAGGCGGCGUCCUGGACCAACACUGACACUGAGGAGCGAAAGCCAGGGGAGCAAACGGG